This 340-nucleotide ribosomal RNA is filed under the name Escherichia coli P0299917.4. Lineage: Bacteria; Pseudomonadati; Pseudomonadota; Gammaproteobacteria; Enterobacterales; Enterobacteriaceae. The record is from RNAcentral.
AUCUAAGCACGAAACUUGCCCCGAGAUGAGUUCUCCCUGACUCCUUGAGAGUCCUGAAGGAACGUUGAAGACGACGACGUUGAUAGGCCGGGUGUGUAAGCGCAGCGAUGCGUUGAGCUAACCGGUACUAAUGAACCGUGAGGCUUAACCUUACAACGCCGAAGGUGUUUUGGCGGAUGAGAGAAGAUUUUCAGCCUGAUACAGAUUAAAUCAGAACGCAGAAGCGGUCUGAUAAAACAGAAUUUGCCUGGCGGCCGUAGCGCGGUGGUCCCACCUGACCCCAUGCCGAACUCAGAAGUGAAACGCCGUAGCGCCGAUGGUAGUGUGGGGUCUCCCCAUG